RNAcentral lists this ribosomal RNA (785 nucleotides) under uncultured bacterium. RNAcentral's name for it is "bacterial SSU rRNA". It matches the Rfam family "Bacterial small subunit ribosomal RNA", at positions 8 to 796 of the family's 1533-position model. The record is from RNAcentral.
AGAGUUUGAUCCUGGCUCAGGAUGAACGCUAGCGACAGGCCUAACACAUGCAAGUUGAGGGGUAUUGCAGCAAUGCAAGAGACCGGCGCACGGGUGCGUAACGCGUAUGUAACCUGCCUUACACAGAGGGAUAGCCUUCCGAAAGGGAGAUUAACACCACAUAACAUCAAGAUGCCGCAUGGUAUUUUGCUUAAAUCUCAGGAGGUGUAAGAUGGGCAUGCGUAUGAUUAGCUAGUUGGCGGGGUAACGGCCCACCAAGGCGACGAUCAUUAGGGGUUCUGAGAGGAAGAUCCCCCACACUGGUACUGAGACACGGACCAGACUCCUACGGGAGGCAGCAGUGAGGAAUAUUGGUCAAUGGGCGCAAGCCUGAACCAGCCAUGUCGCGUGCAGGACGACUGCCCUAUGUGUUGUAAACUGCUUUUGUAUGGGAAGAAACGACGGCACGAGUGCUGUUUUGCCGGUACCAUACGAAUAAGGAUCGGCUAACUCCGUGCCAGCAGCCGCGGUAAUACGGAGGAUCCGAGCGUUAUCCGGAUUUAUUGGGUUUAAAGGGUGCGUAGGCGGGAUAUUAAGUCAGUGGUGAAAGUUCGACGCUCAACGUUAAAAUUGCCAUUGAUACUGGUUUUCUUGAGUACAGUUGAGGUAGCUGGAAUAAGUAGUGUAGCGGUGAAAUGCAUAGAUAUUACUUAGAACACCAAUUGCGAAGGCAGGUUACCAAGAUAUAACUGACGCUGAGGGACGAAAGCGUGGGGAGCGAACAGGAUUAGAUACCCUGGUAGUCG